RNAcentral lists this transfer RNA (74 nucleotides) under seawater metagenome. Its description in RNAcentral is "tRNA-Lys". It matches the Rfam family "tRNA". Rfam says of the family: Transfer RNA (tRNA) molecules are approximately 80 nucleotides in length. The record is from RNAcentral.
UUUUUUGUAGCUCAGUUGGUUAGAGCAUCAGACUUUUAAUCUGACGAUCAUGGGUUCAAUUCCCAUCAAAUAUA